This 25-nucleotide non-coding RNA is filed under the name Cricetulus griseus (Chinese hamster). The record is from RNAcentral. Lineage: Eukaryota; Metazoa; Chordata; Mammalia; Rodentia; Cricetidae.
CUAAGUCUUUCGCUCCUAUCUGACG